RNAcentral lists this transfer RNA (105 nucleotides) under Lipingzhangella halophila. Its description in RNAcentral is "tRNA-Ser". Lineage: Bacteria; Bacillati; Actinomycetota; Actinomycetes; Streptosporangiales; Nocardiopsidaceae. The record is from RNAcentral.
GCGGCGCCCGCUCCGGUGCAGGUCAGGCGAGCACUAGAAAUGGCGCUCCGCGCCGCUAGAUCUUCCAAGCUGGCCAUGCGGGUUCGAUUCCCGUCGCCCGCUCCA